RNAcentral lists this ribosomal RNA (253 nucleotides) under uncultured bacterium. RNAcentral's name for it is "partial 16S ribosomal RNA". It matches the Rfam family "Bacterial small subunit ribosomal RNA", at positions 524 to 776 of the family's 1533-position model. The record is from RNAcentral.
UACGUAGGGUGCAAGCGUUAAUCGGAAUUACUGGGCGUAAAGCGUGCGCAGGCGGCUUUUUAAGUCUGUCGUGAAAGCCCCGGGCUCAACCUGGGAAUUGCGAUGGAGACUGCAAGGCUUGAAUCUGGCAGAGGGGGGUAGAAUUCCACGUGUAGCAGUGAAAUGCGUAGAGAUGUGGAGGAACACCGAUGGCGAAGGCAGCCCCCUGGGUCAAGAUUGACGCUCAUGCACGAAAGCGUGGGGAGCAAACAGG